Long non-coding RNA from Salvelinus fontinalis (brook trout), 938 nucleotides. RefSeq lists it as uncharacterized. NCBI's taxonomy places the organism in Eukaryota, Metazoa, Chordata, Actinopteri, Salmoniformes, Salmonidae. The transcript has 2 exons. The record is from RefSeq and is a predicted model, not a curated record.
CCCAAAACGGGGUUCAAAGUGUCUGGCCAUCCACUCACGCUAUUCUCACGCUCUGAUAUUCAACUGAAACAAGGCGCUGGACAAACAGGGCCCACGACUGGGGGUAGAGGAGAAAUUGGAUGACAUUUAUGUCAUGAAAAGAGGAGCCCUGACAUUUCACUGUGAGUGACAGGAACAAUGUGAGCAUAUUGGUUCUAAUGUCACAGUGAGAAGGGACGGGGAAUGCGUGAGGUUAGGGUCUUGCCUCGUACUGUCUCGCCCUGCCCUGCCAGGACUAACAGUGAGAGGACAUGAAAGGACAUGUUUGGGGCAUGUUAGGAUAUGUUUGGGACAUGUAAGGACACGUUUGGGACAUGUAUGUUUUGAUGUAAGAAAGGAAGCCAGUCCCAUCAUCGGCACCUCACCUGCUCUUAAAAGAUAACCUUCGGGCCGACUGCGAGCCCAAGGCUGGUUAGGAGACACCGCUGAGACACUAUGUAAUUGUGAUGAACUGAAAGAAUAUUGGGGUAGCACUGUAAUUCAUUAAUCAUAUGCUGUCUUCCCUGCUCCUCUGUUUUACCUCUUUCCUUUUCUGUCUUCUACACCUAUCUCCAAACCUCCUCUUUUUUUAGAAUGCACAGCAUAUGUGUCACGCCCUAACCUUAGAGAUCCUUUUUAUGUCUCUAUUUUUGUUUGGUCAUUGCGUGAGUUGGGGUGGGUAUUCUAUGUUCUAUGUUGUGUAUUUCUUUGUGUUUGGCCGGGUGUGGUUCUCAAUCAGAGGCAGCUAUCUAUCGUUGUCUCUGAUUGAGAACCAUACUUAGGUAGCCCUUUUUUCCACCUGUCUUUGUGGGAAGUUGACUUUAUUUAGGGCAAUUUGCUUUGAGCUUCACGGUUUGUUUUUGUAGUGUUUAUUGUUUUGUUCGGCGUCAUUUUGUUUAAAUAAAGAAAAUGUACACUCA